Papaver somniferum (opium poppy) is the source of this 98-nucleotide small nucleolar RNA. RefSeq annotates it as small nucleolar RNA R30/Z108. The record is from RefSeq and is a predicted model, not a curated record. Lineage: Eukaryota; Viridiplantae; Streptophyta; Magnoliopsida; Ranunculales; Papaveraceae. The transcript has a single exon.
UAAGAUAUCAAUGAGGAUAACAAGCUCCCUCUUCUGAAACAAAUCUGAGCACAACUGCUGGCUGAAUCGAACCUAAUACAAUCGCCACUACUGAGUUA